RNAcentral lists this antisense RNA (164 nucleotides) under Amborella trichopoda. Its description in RNAcentral is "lncRNA IsrR". It matches the Rfam family "Antisense RNA which regulates isiA expression". Lineage: Eukaryota; Viridiplantae; Streptophyta; Magnoliopsida; Amborellales; Amborellaceae. The record is from Rfam by way of RNAcentral.
AAUAAUCAAAUAUAACACUUUGGUAAUUUUUCUUACAUCUCCCCCUCCGGGAGCCCAGGUAGCAUAUAUACCCCCAAAAUAAAGAGCCUUGAAUACUAGAAGAAAGGCCCCUAUACCUAACAAGAUUAAGUGAAUACCCAGGUCAUUUUCUUUCUAUCUUUCCA